Molecule: small nuclear RNA, 107 nt
Organism: Sorex araneus (European shrew)
Lineage: Eukaryota; Metazoa; Chordata; Mammalia; Eulipotyphla; Soricidae
Source: RefSeq, a predicted model, not a curated record
GUGCUGACUUUGGCAGCACAUAUACUAACAUUGAAACAACAGAGAGAAGAUUAGCAUGGACCCUGCACAAAGAUGACAUGCAAAUUCGUGAAGUGUUCCACAUUUUU